AUGUAGCUGAGCAGUGUUACAGGACCAUGGACAGCUCUUUCACCGACUUCCCCUGCCUCACUGUGUCACCCAUUUUGACAUCAUGGAUGUGCCAGAAACAAAACAAGUCGCAGGAACAACGCCAACGUCCUCAGUGAUAAUGUUACAGUGCUGCAGCCUGAGAGAGGACACAAGGCUGCUUCAGCCUCAUCACAUAAAGGCAGGCG
Long non-coding RNA from Solea senegalensis (Senegalese sole), 206 nucleotides. RefSeq lists it as uncharacterized. The record is from RefSeq and is a predicted model, not a curated record. The transcript has 3 exons. NCBI's taxonomy places the organism in Eukaryota, Metazoa, Chordata, Actinopteri, Pleuronectiformes, Soleidae.